UGAUCUGCUCCCCGCCCCGCUCGUCCCGCCGGUCGCCGGCCCCGAUCCAUGCCGGAUCCCGCCGCCGGCGAGCUGCCGAAGCCGUCGCCCCUAGCCCAGCCUCCUCCGGAGCUCCGCCCAGAUCCGGAGCGCCGCCCCCGCGAGCAGCCACGCUGCCCUGCCUCCAGCGCCUCCCUGCUCUCCCUGCCUCUCCUUGUGCCGCCGCCUCGCGCCGCCGCAGCUCGCGCCAGCAGCCGCCCCCGCCGCGCGCCUCGCCUGCCAGUCCCUCCGGGCGCUGUAGCCGCCUGCUCGACAAGCACCUCCGCCCCGUCGCGCCCUGGAUCGGAUCUAGAUCGACCUGCCGCCGCCCUGGCGUUGACCGCCUCUGUUUUGUGCCUGUGCCAUGCGGCUGUAGGUCCUCCCAGCUAAGCAUUCGGCUCGAUUCGGUCCGUGUCCAUGUCCGUGACGGCAGCCGGCGUUUGGUUUCCCCGGCAGUGCAAGGACGGGCACGUGGCCUGCGGCCGCUGCCUCGCGGAGCCCUGCGCGGAGUACGGCGUCCCCUUCGACGCCCACAACGCGGCGAUGGACGCCGUCGUCUCCUCGACCACGGCCGAUUGCGACCACGCCGGCUGCAGGCGCUACGUCACCUACCACGACCUCGCCGGCCACCGCGGCGAGUGCCCGCACGCGCCCUGCGCAUGCACGGUCCCCGGCUGCGCCUUCGCCGGCCUGGCGCCGGCGCUCCUCGGCCACCUGACCACCCCUUCACUCGAUGCCCGUGCAUAGGGUCCAGUACGGCAAGGUCCUCGUGCUCCAGGUGCCGGCGACGCUGGAGCCGCGGGGCCUGCUGCUCGGGGACGAGGACGGUCGCACGUUCCUCAUCGUCGGCGGCACGCUCGGCGCCGGCGCAGUUGUGUCGACGGUGUGCGUCAGGGCGGAGGCGGUGGUGUGGCCGCGGUACACGCUCAAGGUGUGGGCGAGCGGGCCGGCGCCGGCGCCGAACCGGAAGGGUAAGGCCGACACCGUCAUGGCGGAGAUCGAGGUGACGAGCAGCACGGCGCCAGGCGCCGUCGCCGUCGAGGAGCUGGCGUACCUGGCGGUGCCGCCCAAGUUGCUGGUUGGGGCAGGGGCGUCCCGCCGGAUGUCUCUCAAGAUUCGCAUAGACAAGUUCACCUCCUGAUGACGCUUAGUCCGCUAGUACUUUUUACUAAUGCAAGGGUUUAGGUUAGUUUGGAAAGGGUCUCGUGCAUUGCAAUUUGAAGAUGAUGAAAUUUGGUUGCAGUUCAGUAUAGUACAGUAGUACUUCAACAUCAGACCAGGUGCUUUGCAAAUUUCUAACGGUGAAAACUGUUUCGUGGCCGUUGGAUUCGA
Molecule: RNA transcript, 1350 nt
Organism: Hordeum vulgare subsp. vulgare (domesticated barley)
Lineage: Eukaryota; Viridiplantae; Streptophyta; Magnoliopsida; Poales; Poaceae
Exons: 1
Source: RefSeq, a predicted model, not a curated record